AUGCUAAUAGAGCUAUUUCAAGGUGUGGCAGUUGAUGGAUCAUCAGCUUAUGUGCCCAUAGAUGAAGAUGAAGAAGAAGAUGUUGUUGCCGAUGAUGGAAAUGAGGAGAGUCCAAUGAGCACCACCAGCAGGAAGAGGGGAAGCAGCUGCGGUGAACAGUCAGCUUCAAGCCCAGGCAAGAAACACAAGAGCCCAAUGGUGAAACUAAUGACAGGGCUCAUCAAUACUAUGACUAGUGAGAACACUUCUGACAUGAUCACUGAAUAUGCAAACAAAAGACAGGAAGCAAAGGACAAGGCAAAAGAGAAGAAAGCAAACAACACUAAGGAAUCCAUUACUCAUUGUCAGCAAUGUGGUGCAGAAGAAACAAGUGUUGAGUACUUCAUGGCAACUCAACUGUUUGCAGAUGAGGCAAACAGAGUCAUAUUUCAGAACAUUUCAAGUGAUCAGGCUAGACUGACUUGGUUGAAGAGGUGGUGCAUGAUGAAGAAGUUGUCCUAG
RNAcentral lists this ribosomal RNA (501 nucleotides) under Triticum aestivum (bread wheat). RNAcentral describes it as "partial small subunit ribosomal RNA". Lineage: Eukaryota; Viridiplantae; Streptophyta; Magnoliopsida; Poales; Poaceae. The record is from RNAcentral.